RNAcentral lists this long non-coding RNA (3716 nucleotides) under Mus musculus (house mouse). RNAcentral describes it as "long non-coding RNA chr7:73538114-73541830". Lineage: Eukaryota; Metazoa; Chordata; Mammalia; Rodentia; Muridae. The record is from RNAcentral.
GCCAGGGCCUCCGAGAACUGCUGCCUGCGCCAACUACCGAGCUGCCUUUUAUUUCAUCAUCAGAGUACUUAUGGGAACGUGGGGAAAAGGAUGUUCUGAUAUUAGGUUUGUUUUCAGCGUUCUUAAAAAUUCGAUUUUUUAAAAGUAUUAUUAUCAGCGUCAUAAAAUGGCUGCCACUUAAAACUGCCUGUCCCAGUACACAAACACUGCUCAUGCCUUUUCUAAUCAUCCCUGCCUUACAAGGCUAGCGAAAAACGUUAAGAUUUACCCACACCUCUGGAUACCAAAAUAUGGCUCAAAGGCAAGACAAUUUUUAGAUAGAUAUUUAAUUUUCAAUUUAGAAAUGCCAUGUGCUAGAACAUGUGCAUUCCUUCCCCCCUGGUUUCCUUCCGUUCCUGGAUAUAACUUAAGUGUUUGGCAUACUUUUUAUGUCCAUCACUAAGACUACUGUAUUUAAAAAUUUACAAAUAUGAACUGUUUAAAAUUGCAUUCUUAAAAAGUAAAAACUUAUCUCCAAAAAUCGUGAUAUACAAAGCACAUUAGACUUCUGCAUUAACUUUAAAAAAUGCAAUACACAUAAUCACUAUUUUAAAAGUAUAGUGCUUGUUUCAAAAACAGGAAAACUUAAAACUUUUGCUGAUCGCAGUCUCUCAAGUGUAUUUGAUCUGAAAGCAAUUCCUUUCAAUCCCUGCAGUAUCAGGCUGCAAAGGUGGUGGUUUUAGUUGUGUUCCCUAAACACUAUUUUUUCAAAAAUUAAUUCUCUACAGUGUCAACCUACUGGAUGACACAGGAACACCUAGCUACACAAGGGCAACAUAAAUUUCAACUCCGGAGAAAUAUCAUCACACAAAACACAAACAUUCUUUAAACUUUACAAUCUUUAAAGGAAGUGAUGUCAUAACUGUAUACAUGCAUUAAUAAUGUAUAUAACUUAAGAGUAACAGUAAUUUAAAAGUAACUCCAUCUUCAACAAGUCUGGAGUAUUCUGGACAUUCAUCAAAUAUAUGAUUUAAAGUAUACUUGGCAAAAACAGUAAAAACCUGCUUCUUGUUUUGACUAAAGGAAUUAAAUGCAUCACAAUGCCCAAGUUAUUACCCAAAUAAUACUAAGUUUAUUCAAAGACAUCACUUCAAGAGUUAGAGCAGUCUGAUCAAUGAAACAAAAAACCUUGCAUAAGAAAGCCAAAACCCUGGUGAGAAUAUGCAAAUCAUAUACUCAAGGGGGUAACAAGUCUAACUCUGGGUCUUUCCUGACUGUCAAAUGCAUUGAAGCUUCCUAUGCCUUCACACUGUGGCUUUCCAGAGAAUUCGUCUUGCAUUAGAAGCUUUCUGUCCUUGACCCAGUAAUGACAAAAGCAACUUAAAAGAGAUCCAAAAUUGUAACUACUCAAUUUGUAUAGAAAUUUGGAAAUGUAUUUUUUAACGCAAGGCUCAAAAUAUUUUUAGUAAAGAGUAAACUCAUCAAUUUGUAAAAAACUAUAUUCCACACUUCAAAAUUUAAAAGCUAAUUUAAACAAGAAUUUUAUGUAAAAUUAUAAAGUAAAAUCAAAAUUGGAUCAUAUACCAAUCACAUUCUUGUUAGCUGCAUGAUUUUAAAACUAUGACAUGACAAUUCUUAAGAACACAUCCAGAAAUGCAUUCACAUUUUUAAAUUAACAUAAAGAUACAGUCAUACAACAAAAAAUAUCUUAUAUGCUUUAUUACUUCAGCCACUGAUAAGCUACUUCAAAGAAUGAAGGAGAAAUCAUGAUUUAAACAAACAGCACAUUAAAAAGCUUCAGAAGAGAAAGCAUUACAGGACACUGUCAAAAUAAAUGGAUACAUUUAAAGCAGCACCAACUAAAACAUAAGGAUAAAAUAAAAUACAAUUAUUAUCAACCAGAAAGAACUGUCUUAAUAUACACAAACAUAAACCUUGUAAUAUUUUAAGCAUAAAAAAUACAAUUACAUUGCCAUAGUAACAAACACAAAGCUUAAGUAUUAAUAGCAUUCCAAAAUUUUUGUGGUUACAGAUUUAAUGAUCUCAGGAACUAUUUAUUAAGGUUUUGAUAAGUCAUAAAAAAAAUUUUAAUUGUCACGUGUAUCAAAAGAAACAAUCAAAAAUAUAAACUGAAAGGCAUCAGUCAAGGGGUCCUAUUUGUGAUUGUGUUUUUAAAUGUACAUUUUUUCAUUCAUAUAACUUUCUCAAAUGUCUAUUUACUAUAAUUUACUACUACCAGGCUGCUCUAUGGCCCUCGGUUACAAGUUUGAAUAUCCCAGAUUCUUCAAAGAAAAAAAUUUGCCUUGUAUGUAAAAUGGUGCAAUGCAGCAAUGGCUAAACAGACAAGGUCAUUUUUCUGCAGCAUGAAAACCUAAAACCUGAAAAUUUACUGACAGAAAAACUACAGUUUCUAGGAAAGGCCCCUCCGGAGAAAAGUACAUUACCUUCUGAAUGCUGUAAGAGGCCUUAAGUCACAACUCAACUUUCAUAAAUUGAUACCAAAAAAUCAGGGUGUGGCAUGUUAGCAAUCUCAAGGUCACGCUUUAAAAACCAACCCAAGUUAGAAAAUUCUUGAAAUACAGACAGCAAUCCAUGUCUGUCAAAGUAAACAAGUGUAAGCUGAGGUUUCCCGAAAAAAAAAAAAAAAGAAAGAAAGAAAGAAAGUUGAUAGCUCAUACCUCGAUGCAUUGCUGUGUAGCGAACUGUCCUCCUCUUGGCUUUUGUCCUUAUUUCUCAUCAUCUUUUAAUUCUUAAAUAUUAAGGGGGAGGGGGAAUCUGUGUUUGCUUUGAAGUCCUGUGCCCAGGUAUUUACUGUCAAAAGUUGAAAGAAAGGUGAGGUCCCAGCUUCUGCGGAUGGUUUUAUUAUCAGGAACAAAGUCCUGACGAUGUUAGCGAUAUUCAUGUAAUGCAACAACGAUAAACACCAGAAAAACAAAAUAUUUCUAUUUUUCCGUUUUAAAAUGAGAGGGGGAUAAACUGAACGACAGAAGCAUCACUAUCAAUAAGGAAAGUUUCUCAAAAGUAACACACUGGAUACAAAUAACAAUCUCUCUAUCUUAUUGCGUCAUCCAGGAAUUUCUCAUAUUUACAGUAAAUAAAGCCAAGUUCAACAUUAAUUUUUUUAAAAUUAUCACUGAUUAUCAUGGACUUACCUGAUCCAUGUAGUAGGUCCAAAGCAAGAGUCCUAUCUAGUAGUAGAAAAAUAUCCGAUCCAAAAUAAUUUUUAAAAACGCAAAAUUCUCCGUUAAAAAACAAAAAGUAAAUGAAAUAAUCCUCAAAUAUGUUGACUUGUCAAAAAAUAAAGCAAUAAUUAAUACUAAAACAGGUCCGGAAGGGGAAAAAAAAACCUCAUUAGGAGAGCGCACAAAAAUGGAGGUGCGCCAUGGCUUCUAAGCUGGAAAAAACAACGACCUGGGCUCUCAAUACGGCAGCUUCUUCCAACAAGGCACGAAAAGAAAGCUCCUAAAAGCAGCUUUUCUCCCAAAAAAAGGUUCGGAUCGACCCCAGUAAGUCACUAGAAGAGGCAGGGGGCUGCGGGGGCCCCCUGAGGCUGCCCGAAAGUUAGGGAAAGUUGCGUAAAGUGAACCGAAGCAGGGAGCAAAGCGCGCUCUCUCUAAGGCACAGCCGCCAUCUAGAGCCUCCUUCCCAGCUCUGAGAGCUCUGCCUUUGAUUGACACUCUCUACAUUUACCCCACAACUCAGGUGAUGUACCAUAGACCCACCCCUUCAUCUCCACC